Molecule: ribosomal RNA, 532 nt
Filed under: uncultured bacterium
Lineage: Bacteria
Description: bacterial SSU rRNA
Rfam family: Bacterial small subunit ribosomal RNA
Source: RNAcentral
ACGGCGCACGGGUGCGUAACACGUGGGUAAUCUGCCCUCUGAUGGGGAAUAACUCGCCGAAAGGCGAGCUAAUUCCGCAUAACAUUCCUUGGACUCCGGUCCGGGGAUUCAAAGGCGUAAGUCGUCGGAGGUGGAGCCCGCGCCCGAUUAGCUCGUUGGUGAGGUAACGGCUCACCAAGGCAAUGAUCGGUAGCCGGUCUGAGAGGAUGGUCGGCCACACUGGAACUGAGACACGGUCCAGACUCCUACGGGAGGCAGCAGUGGGGAAUCUUGCGCAAUGGGCGAAAGCCUGACGCAGCGACGCCGCGUGGGGGAUGAAGCUUCUCGGAGUGCAAACCCCUUUCGACCCGGACGAAACACCCGCAAGGGUUUGACGGUACGGGUAUAAGAAGCCCCGGCUAACUACGUGCCAGCAGCCGCGGUAAGACGUAGGGGGCCAGCGUUGCUCGGAAUUACUGGGCGUAAAGGGUUCGUAGGCGGUGUGGCAAGUCGGGAGUGAAAUCUCUGGGCUUAACUCAGAGGCUGCUUCCGA